RNAcentral lists this transfer RNA (72 nucleotides) under Ovis aries (sheep). It matches the Rfam family "tRNA". Rfam says of the family: Transfer RNA (tRNA) molecules are approximately 80 nucleotides in length. Their secondary structure includes four short double-helical elements and three loops (D, anti-codon, and T loops). The record is from Rfam by way of RNAcentral. Lineage: Eukaryota; Metazoa; Chordata; Mammalia; Artiodactyla; Bovidae.
UCCCAGGUAGCUCAGAUGGCAAAGUAGCUGCCUGCAAUGCAGGAGACCUGGGUUUGAUCCCUGGGUUGGGAA